Molecule: ribosomal RNA, 287 nt
Filed under: uncultured prokaryote
Description: partial 16S ribosomal RNA
Rfam family: Bacterial small subunit ribosomal RNA
Source: RNAcentral
UGGGGAAUUUUGGACAAUGGGCGAAAGCCUGAUCCAGCCAUGCCGCGUGCAGGAUGAAGGCCUUCGGGUUGUAAACUGCUUUUGUACGGAACGAAAAGACUCUGGUUAAUACCUGGGGUCCAUGACGGUACCGUAAGAAUAAGCACCGGCUAACUACGUGCCAGCAGCCGCGGUAAUACGUAGGGUGCAAGCGUUAAUCGGAAUUACUGGGCGUAAAGCGUGCGCAGGCGGUUAUAUAAGACAGAUGUGAAAUCCCCGGGCUCAACCGGGGAACUGCAUUUUGGACU